CUUCCGUAGGGUGAACCUGCGGAAGGAUCAUUACUGAGUGCGGGCUGCCUCCGGGCGCCCAACCUCCCACCCGUGAAUACCUAACACUGUUGCUUCGGCGGGGAACCCCCUCGGGGGCGAGCCGCCGGGGACUACUGAACUUCAUGCCUGAGAGUGAUGCAGUCUGAGUCUGAAUAUAAAAUCAGUCAAAACUUUCAACAAUGGAUCUCUUGGUUCCGGCAUCGAUGAAGAACGCAGCGAACUGCGAUAAGUAAUGUGAAUUGCAGAAUUCAGUGAAUCAUCGAGUCUUUGAACGCACAUUGCGCCCCCUGGCAUUCCGGGGGGCAUGCCUGUCCGAGCGUCAUUGCUGCCCAUCAAGCCCGGCUUGUGUGUUGGGUCGUCGUCCCCCCCCGGGGGACGGGCCCGAAAGGCAGCGGCGGCACCGUGUCCGGUCCUCGAGCGUAUGGGGCUUUGUCACCCGCUCGACUAGGGCCGGCCGGGCGCCAGCCGACGUCUCCAACCAUUUUUCUUCAGGUUGACCUCGGAUCAGGUAGGGAUACCCGCUGAACUUAAGCAUAUCAAUAAGCGGAGGAA
Molecule: unclassified non-coding RNA, 573 nt
Filed under: Aspergillus versicolor
Lineage: Eukaryota; Fungi; Ascomycota; Eurotiomycetes; Eurotiales; Aspergillaceae
Description: partial contains ITS1, 5.8S rRNA and ITS2
Rfam family: 5.8S ribosomal RNA (bases 190-343)
Source: RNAcentral